This is a long non-coding RNA of Bos taurus (domestic cattle), 1005 nucleotides long. The record is from Ensembl. Lineage: Eukaryota; Metazoa; Chordata; Mammalia; Artiodactyla; Bovidae.
GGAAAAAGUGAUCCCAUAUGUACUGCUGACUUUUCACUGCUAAUUUGCCUUAUGUAGAAUCUAAUAUCCUGACCAGGGAUCAAACCUGGGUCUCUUGAAUUGGAAGCAUGGAGUCUGAGCCACUGGACCACCAGGGAAGUCUCUCAGAAGACUCUUGAGAGCCCCUUGCACUGCAAGGAGAUCAAACCAGUCAAUCCUAAAGGAAAUCAACCCUGAAUAUUCACUGGAAGGAAUGAAGCUGAAUGCUGCUGAAGCUGAAGCGCCAAUACACUGGCCACCUGAUGCGAAGAGCUGACUAAUUGGGAAAGAUUGAGGGCAGGAGAAGAAGAGGAUGACAGAGGAUGAGAUGGUUGGAUGGUAUCACCGACUCAAUGGACAUGAGUUUGGGUGGACUCUGGAAGAUGGUGAAGGACAGGGAAGCCUGGUGUUCUGCAAUUCAUGGAGUUGCAAAGAGUCAGACACAACUUAGAGACUGAACAGCAACAACAGGAAUUGGCCAUUUCUAUACUUUCUCCAGAGAAAUGUGCAUCGAAAUCCUUUAUUUUUAAAAUAUUUAUUUAUUUAGCUAUGUGAGAUCUAAGUUGCCGUAUGUGGGGUCUUUUUUUUAAAUUGUUGUUGUGGCACACAGAAUCUUUUUAGUUGUGACAUUUGGAAUCUUCAAUUGCAGCAUGUGAACUCAUAGUUGCAGUAUGUGGGAUCUAGUUCUCUGGUCAGGGAUUGAACCCAGGCCCCCAACAUUGGGAGUGUGGAGUCUUAGCCACUGGGCCAUUUGGGAAGUCCCCCUUAUGCAUUAAAACAUUUUUUUAUUGUUGAGUUGUACAAAUUCUUCACAUAUUCUGGAUACAAGCCCUGAGUCAGACAUAUUAUUUGCAAAUAUUUUCCCCCAUUCUUUGGGUUGUCUUUUCACUUUUAUGAUCGUAUUGUUGGUAAUACAAAAGUUUUAAAUUUGAAUGUAACCCAGUUUAUCUAUUUUUUUCUAUAACAAUAAUAAAAUUUAUUAUUUUA